Molecule: non-coding RNA, 73 nt
Organism: Potamilus streckersoni
Lineage: Eukaryota; Metazoa; Mollusca; Bivalvia; Unionida; Unionidae
Source: the annotation of a GenBank genome assembly
GCUCCGGUGGCCUAGUGACUAGAGCGUCCGCUUCAGAUGCGGGAGGUCGUGGAUUCAAUGCCCGUUGGAGUCA